AAGUGUCUUGAAUGGAGUGAGAGAUAUAUCUGAAUUAGAUGAGGAAGAACAGCUAAUUCAAGCCUAUGAACAGCAAGUGGCUGUGGAAGAAGCAAAUGCAAUUAAGAAGAAAAUUAAAAAGAAACUUAAAGAGCAGAUGUCUGAAUUCACCUCAAAUGUUCAAAGUCAUGAAAUGGUAUUGAACAAUGAAGUGAGCAAAAAGAAGAAAAAGAAAAAAGAAAUACCGGUUAUAUCUGAAGCUCAAACAAGUGCAAUGUCCCUUUCUGAACUACAGAAUGAUCCAGAGGGAGAAAAUUACAGCAAAAAGAGAUCGUUGGAAAGACCACUCAUAUCCAAGUCUGAAAGUGACAAUGUGCUAACAGAGAAGCAAGAGCUGGAGGAGCAUACUGAAGAACAGACUUGUAAAGGAAAGAAAGCGAAAAGGAAAACCAAAAAAGCAUUAGAAGAAAAUAUAGAAAACAAUAAUGAAAAUACUGCACAUGUGGCUGCUGAAAAUACAUCACCAGAAUUGAAACCUGUUUUUGAUGAUAGCCUUGUUUUAGGUGUUUUCAUCCAUCGGACUGACAGACUUAAAACUGAUGUUAUGGUAUCACAUCCCAUGGUUAAGAUUCAUGUGAUUGAUCAGAAAACUGGUCUAUAUGUCAAGAAAGAGAAUAGAAGCCGGCCAGUCUCAUCUUUCUAUGAACAAGAGAAAGUGGAACAUAUUCUUCCCAUUAUGACCCAGCCUUAUGAUUUCAGACAGUUUAAGUCAACACUUCCAGAAUGGGAGGAACAAAUAAUAUUCAAUGAACGUUUUAACUAUUUCCUUCAAGAUACUGAAGAAAGCCCAAGAGUAAUCCUGUUUUUUGAGAUCCUUGAUUUUUUAAGCAUGAUUGAUGCAAAGGCCAACUUCGAUCUCCAGGCUCAGGAGAGUGGCUUUCGGAAAAUCUGUUGGGCAUUUCUAAAGCUUGUAGGUGCAAAUGGAGUUCUGAAUGUUGGUGGAAAAGUACGUCUUCAGCUAUAUUCUCCUCCUGUGAGAACCAAGACACAACUAAAUGUUGUGGAAGUGUAUGACUGGUGGGCUAAAUGUCCCAGAAACCAUUACCCUUCCACACUGUAUGUAACUGUGAAAGGCAUUAAACUUCCAGAUCAUAUAGGUCCUACCUUACGUUCUAUGAUGGCUGUUCAGCAAGAAUAUCAUUCCUCAUCAUUCCUGGACCUACAAAGUGAAACAUCACAAAAAGCUAAUAAAUCUGGGCCACAACUGAAAAAAGAGGAACCAUUUAAGUGGUCAAAACUUCCUGGACAGGUUUGUCGCAUACCAAACAGAUACCUGUUCUCCCUGAAAGCUGGAGAUAUGGGAUGUUUCUGUAUUCGUUUCUCUGAAGAUGGCCGAACAUUAGCAGCUGGUUGUGCAGGAAGAGAUGGUUAUCCUAUUAUUUUAUAUGAGAUUCCUUCUGGACGAUACCUAAGAGAAUUCUAUGGACAUCUGAACAUUGUGUAUGAUAUUUGCUGGUCCAAAGAUAAUCAACAUCUCCUUACUGCAUCCUCAGAUGGCACUGCAAGAAUGUGGAAAAUAGAAGCCCAGGCUACAUCAGCCAGGAAAGUUUUCCCUCAUCCUUCAUUUGUAUAUAGUGCUAAAUACCACCCAGUAGCUGAGUAUAUCAUAGUGACAGGAUGUUAUGACUCUGUGAUAAGAGUGUGGAAUGCAAAAGUGAAGGAAAUUCAUGGGCAGCUUUUACAAGAGUUUGAUGGUCACAGAAGUUUUAUCAAUACAUUGUGUUUUGAUGCAGAAGGAUCUCACAUGUUUUCUGGAGAUAGCACAGGGCUAAUAAUUGUCUGGAAUACUUCUGUUAAAGAAAGUUCUCCAUCACCAAUCCAACACUGGGGCAUUGAUAAGGAAAUAAAAGAUGAUGAUAUCAAAGGGGCAGCAAUCAAUCAUUUGGAGGUACAUCCAAAUGGAAGACGGUUAUUGAUACAUACAAAAGAUAGUACCGUGAGAAUUAUGGAUCUCCGAAUCUUGGCUACGAAGAAAUGCAUAGGUGCUACAAACUAUCGGGAAAAAAUUCGCAGUACUUUGACACCAUGUGGAACGUUCCUUUUUUCUGGAAGUGAAGAUGGUGUAGCAUAUGUCUGGAAUCCAGAAACAGGUGAUCAAGUAGCCACGUAUUCUGAUCUUUCCUUCACAUCUCCACUUCGUGAUGUUGCCUUUCAUCCACAUGAACAUAUGGUGUCAUUCUGUGCCUUUGGACAAAACCAGCCAAUACUUGUAUACAUUUACGAUUACAAAGUUGCCCAGCAGGAAGCUGAACAGUUAUCCAUGUCAUCCAGAGGUCCAAAGAUUCUUAACGGUUCUGCUGAUAUCUCUGUACAGAAAGAUUCAAUAAUGUCUCCUGCUGACCAGUUUGCAAAUGUUGCAAGGGUAUCUGUGAGGAUGCAAAAAGUCAAACAAAAACUGGAUUCUGUUAUGGCCAACUCCAGCCCAUUGCUUCCUAGUCCAUCUCUCCUGUCGCAACACUCUAAAUUACGACUGGGAAGUGCACUGGGUGAAGUGCAGAUCCCUCAUUAUUCUCUUCCUGCUCCAAGUGGGAGUUUUGUCCCAGUAGGAAAUCCUUUUAGCCUAACACCUUCAGCUGGACUACGCACGAGUACUGAGUUUCUAGUGGCAUCAUAUGCCAAAGGAGACAGUAGUUCAAUCCCAGUCCAAGAAACAGUAGUGGCUCUUUAUGACUACACAGCGCAUCGAUCAGAUGAGCUAACCAUCCAUUGCAGUGACAUUAUCCAAGUGUUAUACAAAGAUAAUGAUAACUGGUGGUUUGGCAGCCUGGCGAAUGGACAGCAAGGCUAUUUUCCAGCCAAUUAUGUGGUUGGUAAAACGCAAUAUGAAGGACAGCUGUCUCCAGAAUUAGAAGAAGAUUCUGCCCCUCUUCUGACCAAUGACCUGGUGGAGGCAGCAUCACCAACAAUGCCUGGGGUAGCUAUUUAGGAGGAAAAGCAUGUGUGAUACUUGUGAAAGAUGGGAUUGCAUUUUCCAUUUCCUGUAGUAACCAUUUAAUUCCCAAGUACAUAUAUUAGGUGAUCAUAUUAAUGCAUGGGCUUGCUCAGGUUCAACCAUUUACAGGCAGUACCAGCCUGCCGGUUACAAUACCCACAAAAUGUUCUCUGUGUAUGUUGGGAAGCAUUAAAAGAGAUGAAGCUUAACUGAGAUAAAAUUAUUGUUACAAAUUAUGUGGCUCAAUAAUUCAGUGAACAUGUCCAAAACUAGUAAUAAAUGAGGACGUUUUCUCUCAUUGUAGACUUACUCAAAGUUUGACAUGUUUGUCCAUAAUUGGCUGCAUUAUCUUCUAUAGAUGCUCACACAAAUUGGAACUUGAACUCCCACACUCUGGGUUCAGUUCUGUUCAACUGAUACUUAAGUAAUUAAGAACAUGCACAUUAAUUGCAUCCAAGCAAUUAAUAUUGUGUAUAGUUUGGCCCUCAGUGUCCAUUCCUUUGAACCCAGACUUUUUCCUGCAUUCAGAUACAUUGUAGGGCAGGACGAACACCUGCAUGCAGAAGUGAUCUAUGUUAUCCUCUGAAUAGAUGCUCCCAUUAGAAAAGCAGGGGCAGUGGGGAUGCUCAGGAGUGGCGAUGGGGAGCUGGCCCUCUGGUGCACCAUACCCAGGGCUUCAGGUCCAGCCAGGGCAGUCUCAUAUAUUGAGGAAAGGAAGCCUUCCAGGAGCAGAGUGCAGGAACCUCCAGGCUGGGCUAGUGACAUGAGUUGCUUUAUUAGAAUGUUUUAUCCAGUCUGAGUGAUGACUGGGCAUCACUCAAGGUGGCAAAUAUAAAUUAAUAUUAAAAUAGCACAGUAAUGUCAGAGCACACAAAUCUCAGUUGGCCUUCCUCCAAACAGCUGUUAGAAACUGACCAGGUCUUUCAUGCUGGACCAAAUUCAGAUAGUCUUAACUGGUACAGCCUCAGUGAUUGGAGCCAGUUUAUAAGAUGGAAAACAAUUAUUGUACCCACCACAGUUGUUCGCUCAUUAACUUUGUCGUUGGCAGUACAGUUGAAUUCAGAAUGUUUUCAUUUUACGUGUGUUGUGUCUGUAUUUUUAAAGUGUGCUCUAACUGGCACUAUAUUAUUCUCUUUGAAAAAAGAAGUAUGCUAGCAGUUAAUAUCUGAAUUCUGACUAUAUCUUCAACCAAAUGCAUAGCAGUUUAUUUUAUACUGGCUAGACCGAAUUACUGACAUGGCUGGGCAUGAAUAGAUUGCGGCCACAAUGUAUAGAUUUUUACAAUGAACUCCACAUGCCCAGCAGAAGUCGUGGAUUUUAGUGGCUACCCUACCUCCUCACCAUAUGGCAACGUUGAAACCUGUGGGUGUUUUUGAAACCUGGAGGAGUUUGCGAAGCAGUUGAAAUAUCACAUGAGAAGCUGAUGUUUGAGAAAACACAUUCAAGUCUCUUGGGUACACCAAAAGGAGGCUUUUCUGGAUUGUGGACUCUGUGUGUGUGUGCGCGUGCAUGCACACGGCAAAGUUGUUUCAGAAAAUAGUGCCACUUUUGAUAUACAGUGUGGGUGGUUCUGCUGUUAUUUUUUGAAUAUUUCUUGUAUAUUUCAUAAGAUAGGAAGCCUUUCUUCUAACAAACAGCUGAGAGGAAUUAUUUUACAGUUGUAUUUACACUAUCCCAUAUCAGAAAAUGUUCAGUAAAGGUGAAAGUAUUUAGUACAUAAAGGCCCUAUGUUGAUGCUUUCUUACUGGGCUUAAACCCACACCACCUAUAUGCAGAACUAUAUUCCCUAAACCACGCUUACAUCUCUUCUUCUACAUAGACUAAUAAAAUAUAAAACCACUUGUCUUACUUUGGUUUUAAAGAGAGGAGCUAUUCCCCUACCUUUUAAACAAAAGUUUGAGCACUUACAAUAAAUAAUAAAGCAAUAUUAUUAACACAGCUAGAGAGCAAUCUAAAGAAAACUUUGCAGAAACCAGAAGGGACUGUAGCAAAAUAAUAAAGUGCUUCAGAGAGCAAUUCUCAGAAUCCUCUUCCCCCCUGCCCUCCCCAAGACUGCUUGAGAAGCUGUAGGAUGUGGCACAGGUGCUGCUCCACUGAGAGAGGGAGGCCUGCCUGCAGGUUGGUAGCUACUCCACCUCAGCAUGCAGGUGAAGUGGCAGCAGUUCUCUUACCCAAAGAGGGUACUCAGUGGGCAUGUUCAGAGUGUGCUUGGAUCUGCAGGAUCCCGACUGCUUCAUUUCCAUGACCCUCCCAAAUAUUAGGCACAGAAUUAUGCCAGUCCUGGAGCUGGCAUUAAUUCCUUCUCAUUGUGGUCAGUGAUGUGGGGAACAACCAAAAACUAAUUGUGAAAACAGAAAAGAAAAAAACACACACUCCCCACCACCUUUCUGCCCUGAGCUGGCAGAGCUAUCAUUGCAGCAGACUAACCACCGCAGAUCUCUUCUUCCUCUUGACAAAGAAUGUAAAGUUGCUCUGUUAAAAAGAUGGCAAGCUAGAAUAAAGUUGUCUUCACAGCCUGUCCAAAGCUAAACAACAGUGGGUGGACCAAGGAGACCUUGGUCCACCCACUGUAUUCUGGAACCUCCAGAAAUGUGCACAGUUUUCAAGCAGGAUCACACAGACAGAUGCUGUGUUCCUAGGUUAGGCAUAGAGUCUAGAUCUAGUUAUAUCAAUAAGGCAAUAUUGACCCAUAUCUCAUCUCCAUCAAAGCACUAAGAAAUGCUGAAUUAAUUUCACCAUGCUAUGAGGUUGAGAGAGAGAGACAGAGACAGCACAGUGGAAUUGGUAACUGGUGUUUGGUAAUUUGUUGUAUAAUUUCUGAAAAUAGAUGCAUUUCCUUUUAUAAAAGAUUAUGACACUAUGCAUAAUUCAUAUUUUUAAAUAUUUAGUGCUAGCAAGACUAAUUUUUGGAUUUUGAUGGCUCUGCCCUCAAAAUAAAAGAUGACGUUAUUUCAUUGUCAAUAACAUUUUAAGACAGAUGUAAUCCCUAUUGAAAAUUCACUCAAGCAUGGAUUCAUAGCUCUGCAUUUGUUUGUUUUUUCUAAACACACCUGAACAUUUCAAGGGGUUUUUAAAGCUGUGGAACUGUUUCCUCCUUUUUUAACCACAUAUGGUGAGAAUUUCAUGGGUGACAGAUCUUCUGUAUGAAGCGAGGUAUAUUCUCUCCUCAUUCAGGAAGCCCGUGGGUUUUUCAUCGUACACGUGUUGACCCCAUUUUCUCUCUCUUUUUUUCUCCCUUACUGAUCACAUUUUCCCCUUUGCAGAUGUCAGCAGUCAUCAGCAAAUCAGGAGACCAAAGAUUUAUUUCAGGGAAUGACACAGGCCACCUGCCUACACAACGCACAAAGAAGAAAAUAAGGAAGAAAGGCAUACACAUGGAUACAGAAGAGUACAAGGCAGGUCUAAUUAC
Molecule: RNA transcript, 6380 nt
Organism: Varanus komodoensis (Komodo dragon)
Lineage: Eukaryota; Metazoa; Chordata; Lepidosauria; Squamata; Varanidae
Gene: AHI1
Gene name: Abelson helper integration site 1
Exons: 21
Source: RefSeq, a predicted model, not a curated record